UCAAGUGGAUUUUCCGUGCG
Molecule: small nuclear RNA, 20 nt
Filed under: Arabidopsis thaliana (thale cress)
Lineage: Eukaryota; Viridiplantae; Streptophyta; Magnoliopsida; Brassicales; Brassicaceae
Description: snRNA_01045
Source: RNAcentral